Long non-coding RNA from Selaginella moellendorffii, 377 nucleotides. RefSeq lists it as uncharacterized. NCBI's taxonomy places the organism in Eukaryota, Viridiplantae, Streptophyta, Lycopodiopsida, Selaginellales, Selaginellaceae. The record is from RefSeq and is a predicted model, not a curated record. The transcript has 4 exons.
CGUUUUGAUUAAUGUCAACUCGAAGACGUCCUCUGAGAUCCGAAAACUUCAGCCACAACGUUGCGGAAAGUUGCAGAUAGAGUUGAUGGCAUCCAGUAUUUCGUGGAACACCAUGAAGAGCACCUGUAUAUUCUUACCAAUUUUUUGGGCGACAAGAAGCUAGCGUCGCUAGGAAACAACUAUCGGCUUGUCCGCUGCAAGACAGAUAGCUUGACCUCGAAGGCGUGGGAGUCGAGAGCGAAAAUUGGAUAGAGGAUAUGGAUAUUUUUGCGAAGCAUUUGAUCUUAUACAGACGACAAAAUGGUCUUCCCAUUGUGCAUGUUUUCAACCUGGAUAGCCUGAAAACUCCUCCUUGGACUGUAAACCUUCCCUCCGGG